UACGGAGGGUGCAAGCGUUAUCCGGAUUCACUGGGUUUAAAGGGUGCGUAGGUGGGUUUGUAAGUCAGCGGUGAAAUCUCCGGGCUUAACUCGGAAACUGCCAUUGAUACUAUAGAUCUUGAAUUUUCUGGAGGUAAGCGGAAUAUGUCAUGUAGCGGUGAAAUGCUUAGAUAUGACAUAGAACACCAAUUGCGAAGGCAGCUUGCUACAGGAAUAUUGACACUGAGGCACGAAAGCGUGGGGAUCAAACAGG
This 253-nucleotide ribosomal RNA is filed under the name uncultured bacterium. RNAcentral describes it as "partial 16S ribosomal RNA". It matches the Rfam family "Bacterial small subunit ribosomal RNA", at positions 524 to 776 of the family's 1533-position model. The record is from RNAcentral.